RNAcentral lists this microRNA precursor (51 nucleotides) under Marmota monax (woodchuck). Lineage: Eukaryota; Metazoa; Chordata; Mammalia; Rodentia; Sciuridae. The record is from RNAcentral.
UGCUUAGUGUAAGUAUGUCCCAUGAAAUGUUUGGAUAUAUUUAUGCUAAAC